ACUCAAAGGAAUAGACGGGGGCCCGCACAAGCAGUGGAGCAUGUGGUUUAAUUCGACGAUACGCGAAGAACCUUACCAGGGUUUGACAUCAAUAUGACGAUUGCAGAGAUGUAAUUUCACUUCGGUGCGUAUUGACAGGUGCUGCAUGGCUGUCGUCAGCUCGUGCCGUGAGGUGUUGGGUUAAGUCCCGCAACGAGCGCAACCCUUAUACUCAGUUGCCAUCAGUUAGGCUGGGCACUCUGUGUAGACUGCCAUCAUAAGAUGGAGGAAGGUGGGGAUGACGUCAAGUCAGCAUGGCCCUUACGUCCUGGGCUACACACGUGCUACAAUGGCCGGUACAGAGGGCAGCCAAGCCGCGAGGCGGAGCGAAUCCCAGAAAGCCGGUCUCAGUUCGGAUUGCAGGCUGCAACCCGCCUGCAUGAAGUCGGAAUUGCUAGUAACCGCAGAUCAGCUACGCUGCGGUGAAUACGUUCCCGGGCCUUGUACACACCGCCCGU
RNAcentral lists this ribosomal RNA (497 nucleotides) under uncultured bacterium. RNAcentral's name for it is "bacterial SSU rRNA". It matches the Rfam family "Bacterial small subunit ribosomal RNA", at positions 899 to 1397 of the family's 1533-position model. The record is from RNAcentral.